UGCAGUCGAACGAAGUAGCAAUACUUAGUGGCAGACGGGUGAGUAACAUGUGGGUAUCUACCCUUUGGCCUGGAAUAACACGAGGAAACUUGUGCUAAUACCGGAUAAGUCUUUACGGAGAAAGCUUUAUGCACCAUUGGAUGAGCCCGCACUUGAUUAGUUUGUUGGUAGGGUAAUGGCCUACCAAGACUAUGAUCAAUAGCUGAUUUGAGAGGAUGAUCAGCCACAUUGGGACUGAGACACGGCCCAAACUCCUACGGGAGGCAGCAGUGGGGAAUCUUGCACAAUGGAGGAAACUCUGAUGCAGCGAUGCCGCGUGAGUGAAGAAGGCCUUUGGGUUGUAAAGCUCUUUCGUCGGGGAAGAAAAUGACUGUACCCGAAUAAGAAGGUCCGGCUAACUUCGUGCCAGCAGCCGCGGUAAUACGAAGGGACCUAGCGUAGUUCGGAAUUACUGGGCUUAAAGAGUUCGUAGGUGGUUGAAAAAGUUGGUGGUGAAAUCCCAGAGCUUAACUCUGGAACUGCCAUCAAAACUUUUCAGCUAGAGUAUGAUAGAGGAAAGCAGAAUUUCUAGUGUAGAGGUGAAAUUCGUAGAUAUUAGAAAGAAUACCAAUUGCGAAGGCAGCUUUCUGGAUCAUUACUGACACUGAGGAACGAAAGCAUGGGUAGCGAA
RNAcentral lists this ribosomal RNA (670 nucleotides) under uncultured bacterium. RNAcentral describes it as "bacterial SSU rRNA". It matches the Rfam family "Bacterial small subunit ribosomal RNA", at positions 56 to 772 of the family's 1533-position model. The record is from RNAcentral.